RNAcentral lists this ribosomal RNA (497 nucleotides) under uncultured bacterium. RNAcentral's name for it is "partial 16S ribosomal RNA". It matches the Rfam family "Bacterial small subunit ribosomal RNA", at positions 28 to 507 of the family's 1533-position model. The record is from RNAcentral.
GACGAACGCUGGCGGCGUGCCUAAUACAUGCAAGUUGAGCGAUGAAGAUUGGUGCUUGCACCAAUUUGAAGAGCAGCGAACGGGUGAGUAACGCGUGGGGAAUCUGCCUUUGAGCGGGGGACAACAUUUGGAAACGAAUGCUAAUACCGCAUAACAACUUUAAACAUAAGUUUUAAGUUUGAAAGAUACAAUUGCAUCACUCAAAGAUGAUCCCGCGUUGUAUUAGCUAGUUGGUGAGGUAAAGGCUCACCAAGGCGAUGAUACAUAGCCGACCUGAGAGGGUGAUCGGCCACAUUGGGACUGAGACACGGCCCAAACUCCUACGGGAGGCAGCAGUAGGGAAUCUUCGGCAAUGGACGAAAGUCUGACCGAGCAACGCCGCGUGAGUGAAGAAGGUUUUCGGAUCGUAAAACUCUGUUGGUAGAGAAGAACGUUGGUGAGAGUGGAAAGCUCAUCAAGUGACGGUAACUACCCAGAAAGGGACGGCUAACUACGUG